UGCCGCAAAUGUAAAUAUUUUAGCCUCAGUUCAGUUUUGGUUAGUCACACUGAUCAUCCUGAAAGGCUGUUAUGUAGUGUUAGCUAGCAGAGAUGCUCCGGAAUGCUGAGGUGUAAAUGCUAGCUAAAUUACUGCCUUAAUGUAACAUGUUCCAUUAUUUUCUUAGCCGUAACUGUCUGAGAUGCAUUAUGGUCUAUAGCUCAACAACAAACAUUUCUGUCCUAUUGCCCAUCAACAAAUAGGCCUAUAGGAUAAACAAUGCAUGCUAACACACAUAUUGUUCAGGUGUAUUCAUCAGCCUAAAAGAUAUUGUUUGGUUACUUUAAGGAAUGUGGCUGCAUCACCCUUGCCUUCACUGGAAACUCACAACAGGCCAUGCAGGCGUCGCUCCAUUUUGAGUUCGACUGAGAAUCAUCCUGAAUGUGAUCAGGCACCUGCUCCAAAAAGGGCAAAGGCAGCACACACAGUCCACCAUGUCAUGGAGGAUCAGACAGAUAAUGACACAGUUCCACAGACUCUGCGAUUCCUGCCCACACGUGAACAUGGACCUCAACUGUGAAGUGGAUGGACACAUGAGAGCUCUCAUUGUGUUCCACAAUUCAUUCUGCAUAUACAGGAGACACUGUGCAGAGGAGGGUGAAAUUACAAGAUAAAAGGGAAACAGACAUUUUCAUGCACUGCACUAGUAACUGCAUACAACCAGCACAUGGGGGCAUUGACCUGUCUGAUCAACUGUUACAAUACUACACAGCAGAAAACAAUGAAGUGGUACUGAAAGAUUUUUCUACACUUCUUGGACAUCGCUGCCACCAACCGUUUUAUUGUGCAUAAAGAACUGUAUGGUAACGUGUCCCAUAAACAAUUUAUGGAACAACUUAUUGCUGAGCUUUGUAGUGUCACACAAAGUAGUGCCAAAACGGACCAACUCUGAUCAUAUACCAAUUCCAGGAUCUGAACUGUCCUCUGUCAGAAAUGUUGCCACUGCCAGCUGCAAGAGCUGUGUACAUUGCAAAACAGUGCAUGGUAAGCAUCACAAAACACCAUGAAAAUGCCUGGCAUGCGAUGUUCACCUGUGUCUUCAGGUGAACAGGAACUGCUUCCAAGAGUGGCAUAGGGAUUUCUGAUGCAAACAAAACUGUACUACUGUAUUGUGGUGUUUUUGUUGUAAUUCCCUUUUUAAUGCUGUCCUUGCUAAUGUGUAUUUUAAAUAAACCACAAAGGAAACACA
Molecule: long non-coding RNA, 1228 nt
Organism: Silurus meridionalis
Lineage: Eukaryota; Metazoa; Chordata; Actinopteri; Siluriformes; Siluridae
Exons: 2
Source: RefSeq, a predicted model, not a curated record